Molecule: long non-coding RNA, 547 nt
Filed under: Felis catus (domestic cat)
Lineage: Eukaryota; Metazoa; Chordata; Mammalia; Carnivora; Felidae
Description: lncRNA (ENSFCAG00000047641.1)
Source: RNAcentral
UCGGCAAGCAGGCCUGGGGCCACGGACACAAGCAUGACACGGACCCAGGGCUUCACGGAACGACACUGGCCCCGACCAGGGGGGCACGUUCUGGCGUGUUCUCUCCUGUUUUAUUUCAUGAAAACACAGGAUAAAACCAAAUGUCCACUGGUCCCAACUGCUCAAUUCAUUGCACGACUUACUAGUGGGUGGCAGCCACUGUUGGAGUCGGUGGCCUAGAUGUCCUCUCGGAGGACGCGACGUGGGUGCUGAUGGGUGGGGCGUCGCGGGAGCCCUGCCCCUGCAGACGUGUGUACAAGAGCAGGUGCAGCUCCAGGGACUCGGGCAGUGGGCCGGUCAGCCGGCCCCGUGGGAAGCGGACAGCCUCAUGGGGGACAGAAACAUUACAGAAACAACUUUCCAGGAAAUGGGAAUCCCUUUGUUCUUCCCCAUAAUAAAGACGUACACAGACGUCUGUCAGCGGCUUCUAAGACACCAGUGCGAUCCCUUUGCCGAGGCCCUGGAAGUCUUCGGAUGCUGAGGCAGCCAGACUGCGUUUGACGGUCGU